CGGACGCGCCGCAGCGCCUGGCUUCGCCCCUGCCCGCCGCGCGCGCUGCGAGAGAUCUAGACCAAACGUCCUGCCCGCGCCUGGCAACCGGGACCAAGCCACGCCCUUAUUCUUCUACCAGUUGCAAGGUUCUUGUCUCACAGAGCCGAAGAAUGAAUCUCUCGGACACAAAAAGGUGAAGUGAAGUGAAAGCUUAUUAAGUGAAGUGAUUUGUGAUUUUGAACUCUUUUCAUAUACUAAUUGGAUAUUCAUAUGUAUUCGGUGAAGAUAGUCCUAAAGAUGUAUCCGGGCGUUCAAUGAAUCACUGCUGUGUGCUAUGAAAAUUAAUAAAAGGGAACAUGGUUCACCAUAUAGAAUCAGGAGGCCAGCAGGAGGAGCUCUCAUUCCCAGCACUGGUUAUCAAUUGCAGAUCCAACAGGAACAGAAGGACCUUGCGCAUGGAUACUAUUUUACCAUCCCAGCCACAGGAAGACAAGUUGGCAACAGAGCAGCCAAUGAGAGACAGUCACAGCUCAGCCCAUGAGAAGCCACUUCCAGCUCCCAGUUUCCUUCCAUGGACUUUUUGUUUGUAACCGCCCUCCCAACUCUCUCUUUCCUCUAUAAAAGAGAAUUUCUCCCCUUUGUUCUGGGGACUUGCCUAUGGUUUUGCUGUAGCGUGCUUGUCCCUGAAUUCUCUACUAUUCCAGAGUAAACCCAUU
Molecule: long non-coding RNA, 698 nt
Organism: Zalophus californianus (California sea lion)
Lineage: Eukaryota; Metazoa; Chordata; Mammalia; Carnivora; Otariidae
Exons: 3
Source: RefSeq, a predicted model, not a curated record